GGAUUAAUGGUUUUUUAAUCACAGUUUCUCCACAAAUAUUUGUCAUAGAAAAUAUAGCGAAGGCAUGUUGGCACAGAUGGGCGUGCAGUACUGCUACACAAAGUUUGAGAGAAGGCAGAUACAUAAAUGACAGUUAAGAUUAAAGAGUAUGGAAGGGUAAGACAAGAAUCUCUAUUCUCCUGGGACUUUCUGGAGUGACAUGAUAGAUAGCGGUUUCCUUCUGUCACCUGCUGUCUACAUCCAGAGCUGGGAAGGGAUGCAUGACUUUCAAAGCACACUGCUUAAAUAUGGCUAUCUCGCUGUGCAAGGGCUUACGUACUAUCUAUUAUUUCAGGUCCCAUACUACUAUGCCUAACCUCUUGCAGAUAUUUAGACACUUCAAUGUGUAUGAAUUUAUAAUGCCUCAUGAACAAGUUAAUUGGAAUAAGCUGUUGUGAAAGAUUUGGGUUUUAUUUUUGUUUAAAUGAAAUGGAUGGGUCAAGAGUCAAGUGUCCAUGAUGGCAAUUAAAACCAAAGAGACAACUGAGGAAAGUUGUCGUACUCUGUUAUUUUAAACCCAAGCGUGAACAAAAAAAAGAUGAGCUGGUGUCUGCUAAUGCCUGUCUGUGACUAUGAUUCAUGUCACUGGCCAGUGCGCAUAAGCAACUGAGAGCAAAAUUUUUGUCUGUAAAGAAAGAUCCAAACCUGCAAAGCCAUCUCUCGUGCCAAAGUGGCUUUCAGGAUGAAAUUAUACAUUUGGUUAUUUUGCACAGUAUGAGAGUAGAGGAUUGUGAGAGGUCCCAGGAUGCUGGCUACACAUUUUACGCUGAAAAUAAAGCUAGGCUUACUAGUUAUGUCAGCGUAUCUUUAGGUUAUUGAGAGAGGUCUGCCCAGCCCAGUAAUUCUGUGACUGUUAAAAAUGAAGCAUUUGUAUUUUUAAUCUCAUAUGAUUAAACAUUUGAAAGGAAACCAUCACAAUGUUUACAAAAAUACAGCAUGAUACAUAUCGCUGUGGACAAAUUUACAGUAGAAUGUUGACUCACACGUUCUGACAUGUUUUACCAAGUAGUUCUGGCAAGUGUCACCACAUUAAACAUAGACCAGCAAGACUUACGCCAUCGGAGCAAUGUAACAUCUUCAUUACAGUUCUUCUAAAAAAAGUGUAAGUUCAACACUGAAAAGCUACUAUAGGAUAUCUGUACCAUGACAUUUUUAUACACUGAGUUUCUCCUCCAGGGGCCACCAUGCACUGUUGACUGCUCAAAGAGUCACCUCCUGCCUGUAGUGAGGGAUGCUGUCCCAAACCCCUUGGCCUGGUGAGGUCAUGACUAAACUGCUCAUUCACUUUUAGAAAAUGAGUUAUCCUGGGGCAGGCACGUGCCUUUCAACCCCCUUUUUAAAAUCACCAAAAAUAAUAUGAAUUGAGAGGUACUGGACAUUUAAGGGCCUAAAGCAUAUCCUGGUUGAGCGAGGUCCUAUUUAUGGUGGAGCCCGUGUUCCAAGAUGCCCUGCAGGCUGCCUAUGAGAGACUGGUCACAACCGCAGGCAAAGAGGAGGCAGGGGUCAGGAAGAAACUACUGUGUGGGUGAGCUAACCUUUGAAAGACUGCCUCUGUCCUCCAUCCAUGGUCAGGCUAGAGCUAGAGGAGCACUGCACCCCAAAGGGCCCUUCCUGGUCUUUGAGGAAGGGGCUGGGUGCCUCCUGCCCUGCCCAGCACAUGGGGAGAUCAGAAGGAGAGGAGAAGGGUAAAAGGAACAAUCAAUAGCUUCUCUCGUGGCUUGCACAAGGCAGUUAGGAAAGCUGGGGAGUAUAUGUGUUCAGGAGAGUCACCACUGAUGAGGUAGCACUAAGGAUGGUCAAAAGCGAAGUGAACUUUCUUUCCAAAAACCAGUUCCCUGUACCUGCCAGUGGGGAAAUGUUGCCUUAGGCAGGGCUGGUUCAGGCCAGGAAGGAUGCCAGCGCUGGCCUGAGAGACUGGACAAGGGUAAAGAGAUGGAAAACGUGGAAAGGGUUUUAUUUCUUUGGCAUUGUGUAUUUCUGGAGUGCAUCAAUUUGGAGGGACAGUGGACUCCUAAGCCUUUAAAAUUUAAGUUUUUCAGUGGACUGUUUUCUAUUUUAUUUUAAAGUCAGUAUCUGCUUCUAACGUUGUGCACCAUUGUGAAUUCUGCUCUAGCACAGUUCUUUUUUUAACAGCUUGCUUAAUCUGGACCCCCUGUUUACUUACAACAGAAGUUUAAACUAUGCUGCUCUUACCCAACCCUUCCCUGAAUGCAUCGCUGAGCAUCUGACUCUUAGACCAGCUCAUUGCCUCAUCUAUUUCAAGGGAAGGGUAUAAAACAUAAAUGAAAGCAAAACCAAGAAAAGGCAAUUUAAAGCCUCUGAAGCUACAUAAUACAUCUGCAGAAUAGGAACAGACAAAGCAAAACCUGUCUUCUGAAAUGGCAAUUUGGUUUUAGCAAUCUUAUUUUAAUGAAAACUGUCAUGAUCAACUCUAAUCCCCUAGAAAUCUAGAUAAAUAUAGUGUCUACCUGAUAUACAAAGCAAUGUUUAUCUAUUAGAAGUGCCUGUUAUUGUUCUGGGUCUUUGGAGGACUCUGCUGUUGACGAACACUGCUGUUUUACCUGGGAAGCUUAAUUUCCUGGCAGAGUUGGCUAAAGGAAGUCCCUGAAUUUUCCAUCUCGUGCAGUAUUUUAAGGUAGCAUUUAUAAUUAUGUUAUAUUCUGUUAGGAAAUGGGAGACC
Long non-coding RNA from Strigops habroptila (Kakapo), 2719 nucleotides. The record is from Ensembl. NCBI's taxonomy places the organism in Eukaryota, Metazoa, Chordata, Aves, Psittaciformes, Psittacidae.